ACCACCCGAUCCCAUGCCGAACUCGGAAGUGAAACCGCUUAGCGCCGAUGGUAGUGUGGAGUUUCUCCAUGUGAGAGUAGGUCAUCGUCAGGC
This 93-nucleotide ribosomal RNA is filed under the name Cobetia sp. The record is from RNAcentral. Lineage: Bacteria; Pseudomonadati; Pseudomonadota; Gammaproteobacteria; Oceanospirillales; Halomonadaceae.